Non-coding RNA from Plectropomus leopardus (leopard coralgrouper), 278 nucleotides. Lineage: Eukaryota; Metazoa; Chordata; Actinopteri; Perciformes; Serranidae. The record is from RefSeq and is a predicted model, not a curated record.
GGAAAACAGGCUGACACCAACAGAAAGCUCCUGCAGGAGACAGAGAAAAGGGAAAAAGCUGAGAGGGACGUGGAGAGCCUGAAGACUCAGCUGGAGUCCAACACAAAGCAGCUGGAGAAAACUGAGAGGAAGCUGGAGGAGACUGAAGAUCAACUGGACACAAAGACCACUGUCUGCACGAACCUGCAGAGAGAGCUCCAGGAUGAGAAGGACAGCAGGACAAAGUUUGACAAAAAAGUGGAGACCCAGAAGAGGGAGCUGCAGAAAAAUAUAUCAGA